AGAGUUUGAUUCUGGCUCAGAACGAACGCUGGCAGCGUGGAUUAGGCAUGCAAGUCGAACGGGAAGCCGUUGAUCAAUCUUCGGAGAGUGAUUCGGUGGAGAGUGGCGAAAGGGUGAGUAACGCGUGUAUAAGCUGCCCUCAAGUUGGGGACAACGUCGGGAAACUGGCGCUAAUACCGGAUGUGGUCUUGUGGCGCAUGUCACGAUGACUAAAGGUGGGGAUCCUUCGGGACCUGCUGCUUGAGGAGGCAUACGCGUGCCAUUAGCUUGUUGGUGAGGUAACGGCUCACCAAGGCGUAUGGCUAGCUGGUCUGAGAGGAUGAUCAGCCACACUGGGACUGAGACACUGCCCAGACUCCUACGGGAGGCUGCAGUCGAGGAUCAUUCGCAAUGCGCGAAAGCGUGACGAUGCGACGCUGCGUGGAGGAUGACGGCCUUCGGGUUGUAAACUCCUGUCAUUCGGGAAAAACGGCCCUGUGUCGAUAACGCACGGGGUAUGAUGGUACCGGAAGAGGAAGCCACGGCUAACUCUGUGCCAGCAGCCGCGGUAAUACAGAGGUGGCGAGCGUUGUUCGGAUUUACUGGGCGUAAAGCGUGUGUAGGCGGUUUCGUAUGUCGGAUGUGAAAGCCAAUGCUCAACUAUUGAAUUGCAUCCGAAACUGCGGGACUAGAGUGCAGUAGGGGAGAGCGGAAUUCUAGGUGUAGCGGUGAAAUGCGUUGAUAUCUAGAAGAACACCGGUGGCGAAGGCGGCUCUCUGGAAUGUCACUGACGCUGAGACACGAAAGUCGGGGGAGCAAACAGGAUUAGAUACCCUGGUAGUCCCGACCGUAAACGGUGUGCACUUGGUGUGGGGGGUAUUGACCCCCCCCGUGCCGGAGCUAACGCGUUAAGUGCACCGCCUGGGGAGUACGGCCGCAAGGCUAAAACUCAAAGAAAUUGACGGGGGCCCGCACAAGCGGAGGAGCAUGUGGCUUAAUUCGAUGCAACGCGAAGAACCUUACCUGGGCUUGACAUGGUACUGCACGUCCUGUGAAAGCAGGAUUCCUUCGAGGGUGUAUCACAGGUGCUGCAUGGCUGUCGUCAGUUCGUGCCGUGAGGUGUUUGGUUAAGUCCAGCAACGAACGCAACCCUUGUGGUUAGUUGCCACCGCAGGUGAUGAGCCUGCGAGCACUCUAGCCAGACUGCCCGUACAAGCGGGAGGAAGGUGGGGAUGACGUCAAGUCAGUAUGGCCCUUACGCCCAGGGCUGCACACGUGCUACAAUGGUAGGUACAGUGGGACGCAAUACCGCGAGGUGGAGCAAAUCCCCAAAACCUGCCCCAGUUCGGAUUGGAGUCUGCAGCUCGACUCCAUGAAGUCGGAUUCGCUAGUAACGGCGUAUCAGCUACGACGCCGUGAAUACGUUCCCGGGCCUUGUACACACCGCCCGUCACAUCAUGAAAGCCGUCUGCACCCGAAGUCGCUGAGCUAACCCGCAAGGGAGGCAGGUGCCGAAGGUGUGGGUGGUGAUUGGGAU
Molecule: ribosomal RNA, 1516 nt
Filed under: metagenome
Description: bacterial SSU rRNA
Rfam family: Bacterial small subunit ribosomal RNA
Source: RNAcentral